CGAAUGCCACUCGAUGGACUUACAUCAGCUUCCAAGCACACAACAAGAACAACAAACAACAAAUUGCCAAGGAGUCGGGAACUCGAGCCUAGCAAUUGUCAAACAAACACAUACAAAAAGGAAAAAAGGUGCCCGGAGUGGUCUCGCACGACCACCUGCCUACAUACCUCGUCUGGAACAAGGAUCAGGGCGAUGUAGUUCCCCUACAUAGGGGAGCAAAACACACAAACUAAUAGGGAGUCUGGAACUCGAGCCUAAUAGUUGUCAAGCAAAACACACGCAAAAAAGGAAAAGGGUGCCCGGAGAGAUCUC
This 312-nucleotide long non-coding RNA is filed under the name Lathyrus oleraceus (garden pea). RNAcentral's name for it is "Pisum sativum (pea) long non-coding RNA (PSAT_LNC001936)". Lineage: Eukaryota; Viridiplantae; Streptophyta; Magnoliopsida; Fabales; Fabaceae. The record is from RNAcentral.